This 704-nucleotide long non-coding RNA is filed under the name Serinus canaria (Common canary). RNAcentral's name for it is "lncRNA (ENSSCAG00000008499.1)". Lineage: Eukaryota; Metazoa; Chordata; Aves; Passeriformes; Fringillidae. The record is from RNAcentral.
AUGGGUGCUUGGGGAGGUGACCCCUCCCUGAAAGGGAGAUUUUACUCAAAGGAAACCCCCCAAAAAAUGUCAAUUGGAGCAAACACAAUUCCAGCUGAUGAAGUUCCAUCCCUGGCCAGCAGCUGGGAGCCUCAGAUGAAGGGCCGUGUCUGGGGGGAGCCAGAACCGAGCAGAUCCUUUUCCAUUUCCACUCCUUUCCAGGGAGAGUUUUGCAGCCAGCCUGGGACAGGAUGGGGAGAAAGAAGGAUGCUCUCUCCAGGGGCUGUGUCCAGAGCCCAGGACAAUCCCAUAAGAGCAAGGAAAGGGAAAAAAAAAAAAUCUUCAUUUUCAGCUGAUUCCAGCUGUUCUGGUUCCAGUUCAGUUCUGCUGCUCUCAGACAAUCAAGGUACCUGCAGAGGGUUGCCAGCAGUGUGUGAUGCCCUUUCCACCCCUGGUUCCCCUCACCACAGAAGGGUUUUGCAGCCAGGAUGGGAGAAGGAAGGAAGGAUGCUCUCUGCUGGGGCUGUGUCCAGAGCCCAGGACAAUGUGGUUUUUUAGCUUUGGCUUGUGGGUGAAUCAUCCCAAGGUUGGUGAUCCAUCUCCUUGGAUGGCUGGGCUGUAAGGAGCCCCCUCCAUUCAUUCCUUGGGUGCUGUCACCUCUUCAACAUUCCCAAAACUGCUGCUGACUUACUCCAGACCAUGGGGAAUGGUGGAGGUAGCCCUGG